CGUUUCCUAUUCCGUUUAUAAGAAGGCCAAAUAUGUUGAAAGUUCAUAUACGUAAUGACUUCGCAGGAUUACUUAAAUAUUUAGAAUAUCUGUAGAAAUGAAAUCGUUCACAUUUUAUAUAUUUUAUAAUAUUUUAACGAAAAUAUUUGCCUUUAAUAUCGAAUCUAGAUUUCCAUUAAUUUUUCAUGGCAGCGAAGAUAGUUAUUUCGGCUAUUCAGUAGCACUUCACGAAAAUAGUCAAGGAAAAAUGGCUUUAAUAACGGCGACUAAAGCAAACUCUACUUUAGUGGAAAGACAAAAGUUACACGAACCUGGAGUUUUAUAUAAAUGUAACAUCAGUUCAUCAGAAUGCCAAGAAAUCCUUUUAAACAAACUAGCCAAUGAAAAUUCUCAAGACAAUUCAAUUAGGUAUCACGCUAAAGAAGAUGAGAUGUGGUUGGGUGUAAGCCUUGAUAUUCAACCGACCGAGGGAAAUAUUGUAACUUGUGGCCAUCUUUGGAAAAAUCAACUUUACAAAACUCAUUACUUAACUAACGGAAUUUGUUAUUUGAUCGAUAAAGAUAUGAGGAAAAAGCAUAAAAAGAAAGUAUUACCUUUUAUAGCAAAAGACAGGCAGAGUUUAGACUCAGGAGCAUAUUAUUACGCUUUUGCUCAAGGAGGAAUGUCAGCAGCUUUUAGCGAGGAUGGUAAAAACUUAUUAAUAGGAUCACCAGGAUUUUACGACUGGAUAGGCACAGUCAUAAAUUAUUUAAUUCCUGAAAAUUAUGAAAAUUUAUUGCCACCAAUUGUUCCGAAUCCACCAAAAGGAGAGCAAACAACCGACUCUUAUAUAGGUUAUUCGGUAACAAGUGGAAAAUUUUUUGAACUAGGAGAAUUGCAGUUUGUAAGUGGAGCACCGAGAGAUGGGCAAUAUAAAGGGCGUAUUUAUAUAUUUGAAAAGUUGGAUAUGAAAAAUCGUAAUAUAAUUGUGCUACAAACAAACGAUGGAGAACAAGUUGGAUCAUAUUUUGGUGCAUCUGUAUUGGGCAUAAAUGUAAAUAAUGACAAAUAUACAGAUCUGUUAGUGGGUGCUCCAUUAUACUCCUAUCCUUCUGGGGGUGACGAAGGAAAAGUAUAUGUGUAUAUUAGUAACGGAAAGGGAUUAGAUGAAACUCAGGCUCUAACGGGUUCUAAAAAGUUUUAUGGUAGAUUUGGCACAGCUAUAGCUAAUGCUGGAGAUUUGAAUCAAGAUGGAUUCUUAGAUGUUGUCAUCGGAGCACCAUACGAAGAAGAGAGAGGUGCUGUGUAUAUCUAUCAUGGAAAUAACAUGGGAAUUAAUUCCGAAUUUUCUCAAAGAAUUACGGCAAAAGAAGUGAAUGCUGCCAUUAAAAGUUCACACUUAUCAGGAUUUGGUAUUUCUAUUUCUAAAGGAAAAGAUAUUGAUGAUAAUAAAUAUCCAGAUAUUCUAGUUGGAUCGUAUCAAUCUGACAAUGCUGCACUCUUUAGAACUCGCCCCAUUGUUCGAAUAUCUGCCAUUAUAACGUUUAAACCGACUCAAAUAAACACAAAUUCAUCAUUUUGCGAAGAUAGCGGCGAAUCGAUACCAUGCUUCAUCAUAUCGUAUUGUUUAAAUUAUACUGGAAAUCACGUGCCUUUAACUCUAAAUGUAUCAACGGAAUUACGUUCUAUGCGUCAAAGAGAAGAAUUAAAGUUCCGAAGAUAUCUUUUAUAUAAAAACAGAUUAUCGUGGAAUCUUCUGGAAACAGUUAAAAUUGAGAAAGAUAAACAAAAAUGCUUCUCUCAGACAGCUUUCGUAAAGGAAGAUAAAGAUGAUUUUAUUACUCCAAUCAAUAUAAAUCUAAGAUUUCGGCUAACAUACAAUGUUUCUAGCGAAACUUCUUUCUGCGAAACCUGCCCUAUUUUGGAUUCAAGUAGUAUUAAUAUUAUUAAUAAAAUAAUCACUUUUCAAACUGGUUGCAGAGAAAGUGACACUUGCAUCUCUGAUUUAGUUGUAAAUGCAACAGUGCUGGACGAAUUCGGUCCCGAAGGUUUAAUACUUGGAAAACAUACAAUCAUUACUUUAUCUGUAGAAGUUUGGAAUCUUAACGAGCCAGCAUACAUGACUGAACUUCAGAUCAUUCUUCCAGAUCAAAUUAAAAUCAUUAACCAAGACAGCUGUAGCCCAGAUGAUGAGCAUAAAGAUAAAAUUUUACUAUGCAAUGUAGGAAACCCAUUAAAGCAAGACCAAAUCGCUAGAUAUAUAAUUAAGCUGGAUGUCUCACAAAUUCCAAAUGAUGUAGACGAAUUAGUAUUUACAUUUACCGCAACUACUGCCAGCGAGGAAGAACAUCCUGAAAAUAACAAUGCCACCAUUGUUCUACCAUUGAAAAUAUCGGCGGAUAUCACUAUUAUAGGGAAUGCAGGAAGAGAACAAAUUCUUUUGGGUAAAGAGCAAGAUAAAUUGGAGAUUGUACCUUUUGAUCACUAUUAUACAGUUCUGAAAUACUUGCCAAGUACAGUAAAUUCAGUAUCCAUACAGCUUUACAUUCCUACGACUUUUCAUGAUAAGAACGUCACAUUUCUACAAUUAACCAGUAUUCUUAUCAACGAAGGAAAAUUGGACGCAGUUCCCGCUAGUUGCAAUGUUACUCAAAUCAAUUUAAAACCCGAAGAAGUGGAUUACGAGAAAAAAGAGACUACGCAUUUAAUUCUAGAGAGUGAAACUGCAAAUACAACUCAAAUUUUGCCAUCCAGAAAAAAGAGAAGCGUAGAUAAGAAUAAUUAUGGCGUAGCGGAAUCGCUGACUAGUGCAAGGAGUGAUCUUUAUAUUAAUUAUGCUCUGAAUUGUACGACUUCCAUUUGCGAGGAAAUUGUAUGCGCUGCUGGUCCUUUUACUAAUAAGAAGAGAAGCGCAACUUUUCACAUCAAAGGAUUUAUUUAUUUUGCACUAUUGCGAAACAAUUUAGUGAGAAACAAUGGGAUAAUAUCACGAUACAGUCAGAAGGUAAAGUACAGAUACAAGAUGAAAAACGAGAUGUCCAACCUAAAAAACAUCAACCGGAUGAAGCUAAAGUAGCAACGAUAUUAGUUCAGUCUGAACCAUUACCAGCUAAAAAGCUACCCACUUGGAUUAUAGCAGUUAGUGUUGGUGUAGGAAUUUUGGUGUUUUUGAUCAUUUUACUAGGACUUAUAAAGUUUGGAUUUUUUAAAAGA
RNAcentral lists this unclassified non-coding RNA (3192 nucleotides) under Centruroides sculpturatus (bark scorpion). Its description in RNAcentral is "integrin alpha-9-like, transcript variant X2". Lineage: Eukaryota; Metazoa; Arthropoda; Arachnida; Scorpiones; Buthidae. The record is from RNAcentral.